GAGUUUGAUCUUGGCUCAGAACGAACGCUGGCGGCGUGGAUAAGACAUGCAAGUCGAACGGGAUACUAUUUGUAGCAAUACAGGUAGUGUUCAGUGGCGAAAGGGUGCGUAACACGUGGGCAAUCUACCGAGAAGUGGGGCAUAGCUCGCCGAAAGGCGAAUUAAUACCGCAUGUGACCUUGGACUUCCUAGUCUGAGCGUUAAAGCCGGGGCAACCUGGCGCUUCCUGAUGAGCCCGCGGCCUAUCAGCUAGUUGGUGAGGUAACGGCUCACCAAGGCUAUGACGGGUAGCUGGUCUGAGAGGACGACCAGCCACACUGGAACUGAGACACGGUCCAGACACCUACGGGUGGCAGCAGUCGAGAAUUUUUCACAAUGGGGGAAACCCUGAUGGAGCGACGCCGCGUGGAGGAUGAAGGUCUUCGGAUUGUAAACUCCUGUCAUUGGUGAACAAGGCAGGCCGGGUAACUCCGUGCCUGUUUGCUAGUAGCCGAAGAGGAAGGG
Molecule: ribosomal RNA, 504 nt
Filed under: uncultured Spartobacteria bacterium
Lineage: Bacteria; Pseudomonadati; Verrucomicrobiota; Spartobacteria
Description: bacterial SSU rRNA
Rfam family: Bacterial small subunit ribosomal RNA
Source: RNAcentral